This 257-nucleotide long non-coding RNA is filed under the name Nicotiana benthamiana. Its description in RNAcentral is "long non-coding RNA (NBEN_LNC018629)". The record is from RNAcentral. Lineage: Eukaryota; Viridiplantae; Streptophyta; Magnoliopsida; Solanales; Solanaceae.
CAACUGUCGUGUCAAACCGCCCUUAUUUUGACUUUUGAAAACAACCCCACCAAAGUACAGUAUUGAAAUCUUGGAGGGUGCGUGGAUGAUGAUGGUAUUGACUAUGAUUGGGAAACUUAUGAAGCAACUAUUUUGGAUCGUUGGGUUUGCAAAUAAGUUAUAGGAUUUAUAAACCGGAUUAAUGAGUAUAAUAUAAAACAUGUUUUAACUUGGCCUUCUUAAAAGGACGCCAAGCGCUUUGUAGAACGACAUUUGAA